AUAAGCGGAGGAAAAGAAACUAACAAGGAUUCCCCUAGUAACUGCGAGUGAAGCGGGAAAAGCUCAAAUUUAAAAUCUGGCGGUCUCUGAUCGUCCGAGUUGUAGUCUGGAGAAGCGUUUUCCGCGUUGGACCGUGUACAAGUUUCCUGGAACGGAGCGUCAUAGAGGGUGAGAAUCCCGUCUUUGACACGGACCCCAAUGCUUUGUGAUGCGCUCUCAAAGAGUCGAGUUGUUUGGGAAUGCAGCUCAAAAUGGGUGGUGAAUUCCAUCUAAAGCUAAAUAUUGGCGAGAGACCGAUAGCGAACAAGUACCGUGAGGGAAAGAUGAAAAGCACUUUGGAAAGAGAGUUAAACAGUACGUGAAAUUGUUGAAAGGGAAACGCUUGAAGUCAGUCGCGUUGGCCGGGACUCAGCCUUGCAUCAGCAUGGUGUACUUUCCGGUCGACGGGCCAGCAUCAGUUUCGACCGCGAGAUAAAGGCAGAGGGAAUGUGGCUCUUUCGGGAGUGUUAUAGCCCUUCGUCGGAUGUCGUGGUUGGGACUGAGGAACUCAGCACGCCUUUAUGGCCGGGGUUCGCCCACGUACGUGCUUAGGAUGCUGGCGUAAUGGCUUUAAACGACCCGUCUUGAAACACGGACCAAGGAGUCUAACAUGCCUGCGAGUGUUCGGGUGGAAAACCCGUGCGCGUAAUGAAAGUGAAAGUUGGGAUCCCUGUCGUGGGGUGCACCGACGCCCGGACCAGACCUUUUGUGACGGAUCUGCGGUAGAGCAUGUAUGUUGGGACCCGAAAGAUGGUGAACUAUGCCUGAAUAGGGUGAAGCCAGAGGAAACUCUGGUGGAGGCUCGUAGCGAUUCUGACGUGCAAAUCGAUCGUCAAAUUUGGGUAUAGGGGCGAAAGACUAAUCGAACCAUCUAGUAGCUGGUUCCU
This 926-nucleotide ribosomal RNA is filed under the name Aleurodiscus senticosus. RNAcentral's name for it is "LSU rRNA". It matches the Rfam family "Eukaryotic large subunit ribosomal RNA", at positions 46 to 959 of the family's 3401-position model. The record is from RNAcentral. Lineage: Eukaryota; Fungi; Basidiomycota; Agaricomycetes; Russulales; Stereaceae.